GGGGCCACGGCUGGGUGCAGAAGCGGGUGGAGUUGGGUCUGGGCGAGCCCUUUUGUUUUCCCGCCGUCUCCACUCUGUCUCACUAUCUCGACCUCAGGUAGCGGUAGUGAAGAUGAAGCAGACGGGCCAGGUGUAUGCCAUGAAGAUCAUGAACAAGUGGGACAUGCUGAAGAGGGGCGAGGUGAGGGGCUGGGUGGACGUGGGGGGCUUUGAGGAUCCGCGCCCCGUCUCCGGCUGCAGCUCCUCCGGGUGCCCUGCAGGUGUCGUGCUUCCGUGAGGAGAGGGACGUGUUGGUGAAUGGGGACCGGCGGUGGAUCACGCAGCUGCACUUCGCCUUCCAGGAUGAGAACUACCUGUACCUGGUCAUGGAGUAUUACGUGGGCGGGGACCUGCUGACACUGCUGAGCAAGUUUGGGGAGCGGAUUCCGGCCGAGAUGGCGCGCUUCUACCUGGCGGAGAUUGUCAUGGCCAUAGACUCGGUGCACCGGCUUGGCUACGUGCACAGGGACAUCAAACCCGACAACAUCCUGCUGGACCGCUGUGGCCACAUCCGCCUGGCCGACUUCGGCUCUUGCCUCAAGCUGCGGGCAGAUGGAACGGUGCGGUCGCUGGUGGCUGUGGGCACCCCAGACUACCUGUCCCCCGAGAUCCUGCAGGCUGUGGGCGGUGGGCCUGGGACAGGCAGCUACGGGCCCGAGUGUGACUGGUGGGCGCUGGGUGUAUUCGCCUAUGAAAUGUUCUAUGGGCAGACGCCCUUCUACGCGGAUUCCACGGCGGAGACCUAUGGCAAGAUCGUCCACUACAAGGUGAGCACGGCCCCAGGGAGACCUGGCCUCUCCCGGUAGGCGCUCCCAGGCUAUCGCCUCCUCUCCCUCUGAGCAGGAGCACCUCUCUCUGCCGCUGGUGGACGAAGGGGUCCCUGAGGAGGCUCGAGACUUCAUUCAGCGGUUGCUGUGUCCCCCGGAGACACGGCUGGGCCGGGGUGGAGCAGGCGACUUCCGGACACAUCCCUUCUUCUUUGGCCUCGACUGGGAUGGUCUCCGGGACAGCGUGCCCCCCUUUACACCGGAUUUCGAAGGUGCCACCGACACAUGCAACUUCGACUUGGUGGAGGACGGGCUCACUGCCAUGGUGAGCGGGGGCGGGGAGACACUGUCGGACAUUCGGGAAGGUGCGCCGCUAGGGGUCCACCUGCCUUUCGUGGGCUACUCCUACUCCUGCAUGGCCCUCAGGGACAGUGAGGUCCCAGGCCCCACACCCAUGGAACUGGAGGCCGAGCAGCUGCUUGAGCCACACGUGCAAGCGCCCAGCCUGGAGCCCUCGGUGUCCCCACAGGAUGAAACAGCUGAAGUGGCAGUUCCAGCGGCUGUCCCUGCGGCAGAGGCUGAGGCCGAGGUGACGCUGCGGGAGCUCCAGGAAGCCCUGGAGGAGGAGGUGCUCACCCGGCAGAGCCUGAGCCGGGAGAUGGAGGCCAUCCGCACGGACAACCAGAACUUCGCCAGUCAACUACGCGAGGCAGAGGCUCGGAACCGGGACCUAGAGGCACACGUCCGGCAGCUGCAGGAGCGGAUGGAGUUGCUGCAGGCAGAGGGAGCCACAGCUGUCACGGGGGUCCCCAGUCCCCGGGCCACGGAUCCACCUUCCCAUAUGGCCCCCCGGCCGUGGCUGUGGGCCAGUGCCCGCUGGUGGGGCCAGGCCCCAUGCACCGCCGCCACCUGCUGCUCCCUGCCAGGGUCCCUAGGCCUGGCCUAUCGGAGGCGCUUUCCCUGCUCCUGUUCGCCGUUGUUCUGUCUCGUGCCGCCGCCCUGGGCUGCAUUGGGUUGGUGGCCCACGCCGGCCAACUCACCGCAGUCUGGCGCCGCCCAGGAGCCGCCCGCGCUCCCUGAACCCUAGAACUGUCUUCGACUCCGGGGCCCCGUUGGAAGACUGAGCGCCUGGGGCACGGCACAGAAGCCGCGCCCACCGCCUGCCAGUUCACACCGCUCCGAGCGUGGGUCUCCGCCCAGCUCCAGUCCUGUGAUCCGGGCUCGCCCCCUAGCGGCCGGGGAGGGAGGGGCCGGGUCCGCGGCCGGCGAACGGGGUUCGAAGGGUCCUUGUAGCCAGGAAUGCUGCUGCUGCUGCUGCUGCUGCUGCUGGUGGGGGGAUCACAGACCAUUUCUUUCUUUCGGCCAGGCUGAGGCCCUGACGUGGAUGGGCAAACUGCAGGCCUGAGAAGGCAGCAAGCCAGGCCGUCCGUGUUCCAUCCUCCACGCACCCCCACCUAUCGUUGGUUCGCAAAGUGCAAAGCUUUCUUGUGCAUGACGCCCUGCUCUGGGGAGCGUCUGGCGCGAUCUCUGCCUGCUUACUCGGGAAAUUUGCUUUUGCCAAACCCGCUUUUUCGGGGAUCCCGCGCCCCGCUCCUCACUUGCGCUGCUCUCGGAGCCCCAGCCGGCUCCGCCCGCUUCGGCGGUUUGGAUAUUUAUUGACCUCGUCCUCCGACUCGCUGACAGGCUACAGGACCCCCAACACCCCAAUCCACGUUUUGGAUGCACUGAGACCCCGACAUUCCUCGGUAUUUAUUGUCUGUCCCCACCUAGGACCCCCACCCCCGACCCUCGCGAAUAAAAGGCCCUCCAUCUGCCC
RNAcentral lists this small RNA (2622 nucleotides) under Pan troglodytes (chimpanzee). RNAcentral's name for it is "retained intron". The record is from RNAcentral. Lineage: Eukaryota; Metazoa; Chordata; Mammalia; Primates; Hominidae.